UUAAUUAAAACCAAAGUUGAGGUAAAUUAUUGUUAAUAAUUUUUAUUAGAAUUAAAUUAUUCUAAUUAAA
Molecule: transfer RNA, 70 nt
Filed under: Ichneutes sp. QL-2013
Lineage: Eukaryota; Metazoa; Arthropoda; Insecta; Hymenoptera; Braconidae
Description: tRNA-Asn
Source: RNAcentral